GCGAACGCUGGCGGCGUGCCUACACAUGCAGUCGAGCGAUUCCUUCGGGGAGAGCGGCGGACGGGUGAGUAACGCGUGGGUAACCUGCCCUGUACACACGGAUAACAUACCGAAAGGUAUGCUAAUACGGGAUAAUAUAUGAAAGUUGCAUAGCUUUCAUAUCAAAGCUUUUGCGGUACAGGAUGGACCCGCGUCUGAUUAGCUAGUUGGUAAGGUAACGGCUUACCAAGGCGACGAUCAGUAGCCGACCUGAGAGGGUGAUCGGCCACACUGUAACUGAGACACGGUCCAAACUCCUACGGGAGGCAGCAGUGGGGAAUAUUGCACAAUGGGCGAAAGCCUGAUGCAACAACGCCGCGUGAGCGAUGAAGGCCUUCGGGUCGUAAAGCUCUGUCCUCAAGGAAGAUAAUGACGGUACUUGAGGAGGAAGCCCCGGCUAACUACGUGCCAGCCCGCCGCGGUAAC
RNAcentral lists this ribosomal RNA (465 nucleotides) under Clostridium sp. GCA1. Its description in RNAcentral is "bacterial SSU rRNA". It matches the Rfam family "Bacterial small subunit ribosomal RNA", at positions 29 to 524 of the family's 1533-position model. Lineage: Bacteria; Bacillati; Bacillota; Clostridia; Eubacteriales; Clostridiaceae. The record is from RNAcentral.